RNAcentral lists this ribosomal RNA (421 nucleotides) under uncultured bacterium. RNAcentral describes it as "bacterial SSU rRNA". It matches the Rfam family "Bacterial small subunit ribosomal RNA", at positions 354 to 773 of the family's 1533-position model. The record is from RNAcentral.
GUAGGGAAUAUUGGACAAUGGGUGCAAGCCUGAUCCAGCCAUGCCGCGUGCAGGAAGAAGGCUUUCUGAGUUGUAAACUGCUUUUGCCAGGGGAUAAAAUACGGAUGCGUCCGGAAUUGAAGGUACCUGGUGAAUACGCCACGGCUAACUACGUGCCAGCAGCCGCGGUAAUACGUAGGUGGCAAGCGUUGUCCGGAUUUAUUGGGUUUAAAGGGUGCGUAGGCGGUUCUUUAAGUCAGUGGCGAAAUACGGCAGCUCAACUGUCGAGGUGCCAUUGAUACUGGGGAACUUGAGUACUGAUGAGGUAGGCGGAAUGGACGGUGUAGCGGUGAAAUGCUUAGAUAUCGUCCAGAACACCAAUAGCGAAGGCAGCUUACUAAGGAGUAACUGACGCUGAGGCACGAAAGUGUGGGGAUCAAAC